UCCAGACUCCUACGGGAGGCAGCAGUGAGGAAUAUUGGUCAAUGGUCGGGAGACUGAACCAGCCAAGCCGCGUGAGGGAGGAAGGUACAGAGUAUCGUAAACCUCUUUUGUCAGGGAACAAAGGCGGGGACGUGUCCCCGGAUGAGUGUACCUGAAGAAAAAGCAUCGGCUAACUCCGUGCCAGCAGCCGCGGUAAUACGUAGGGGGCAAGCGUUAUCCGGAUUUACUGGGUGUAAAGGGAGCGCAGACGGCAGUGCAAGUCUGGAGUGAAAGCCCGGGGCCCAACCCCAGAACUGCUCUGGAAACUGUGCGGCUAGAGUACUGGAGGGGCAGGCGGAAUUCCUAGUGUAGCGGUGAAAUGCGUAGAUAUUAGGAGGAACACCAGUGGCGAAGGCGGCCUGCUGGACAGUAACUGACGUUGAGGCUCGAAAGCGUGGGGAGCAAACAGGAUUAGAUACCCCCGUA
This 465-nucleotide ribosomal RNA is filed under the name uncultured bacterium. Its description in RNAcentral is "bacterial SSU rRNA". It matches the Rfam family "Bacterial small subunit ribosomal RNA", at positions 330 to 792 of the family's 1533-position model. The record is from RNAcentral.